This 465-nucleotide ribosomal RNA is filed under the name uncultured bacterium. RNAcentral describes it as "bacterial SSU rRNA". It matches the Rfam family "Bacterial small subunit ribosomal RNA", at positions 342 to 793 of the family's 1533-position model. The record is from RNAcentral.
GGGGAGGCAGCAGUGGGGAAUAUUGCACAAUGGGGGGAAAACCCUGACUGCAGCCAUGCCGCGUGUGUGAAGAAGGCCUUCGGGUUGUAAAGCACUUUCAGUAGGGAGGAAGGUAGUGUAGUUAACACCUGCAUUAUUUGACGUUACCUACAGAAGAAGCACCGGCUAACUCCGUGCCAGCAGCCGCGGUAAUACGGAGGGUGCGAGCGUUAAUCGGAAUUACUGGGCGUAAAGCGCAUGCAGGCGGCCUGUUAAGUCAGAUGUGAAAGCCCGGGGCUUAACCUCGGAAUUGCAUUUGAAACUGGCAGGCUAGAGUCUUGUAGAGGGGGGGUAGGAAUUUCAGGUGUAGCGGUGAAAUGCGUAGAGAUCUGAAGGAAUACCAGUGGCGAAGGCGGCCCCCCUGGACAAAGACUGACGCUCAGAUGCGAAAGCGUGGGGAGCAAACAGGAUUAGAUACCCUGGUAG